Molecule: ribosomal RNA, 253 nt
Filed under: uncultured bacterium
Lineage: Bacteria
Description: partial 16S ribosomal RNA
Rfam family: Bacterial small subunit ribosomal RNA
Source: RNAcentral
UACGAAGGGGGCUAGCGUUGCUCGGAAUUACUGGGCGUAAAGGGAGCGUAGGCGGGUUAUCAAGUUGGAGGGGAAAGCCCAGGGCUCAACCUUGGAAUUGCCUUCAAAACUGAUAGCCUAGAGUAUGAUAGAGGUAAGUGGAACUCCGAGUGUAGAGGUGAAAUUCGUAGAUAUUCGGAAGAACACCAGUGGCGAAGGCGACUUACUGGAUCAUGACUGACGCUGAGGCUCGAAAGCGUGGGGAGCAAACAGG